UUGACGGGGAGCACCACAACGGGUGAGCUUGCGGUUUAAUUGGAUUCAACGCCGGAAAUCUUACCGGGACCGACAGCAAUAUGAAGGCCAGGCUGAAGACUUUGCCGGAUUAGCUGAGAGGUGGUGCAUGGCCGUCGUCAGUUCGUACUGUGAAGCAUCCUGUUAAGUCAGGCAACGAGCGAGACCCACGCCCACAGUUGCCAGCGUACUCUCUGGAGUGACGGGUACACUGUGGGGACCGCCGCUGCUAAAGCGGAGGAAAGAAUGGGCAACGGUAGGUCAGUAUGCCCCGAAUAUCCCGGGCUACACGCGAGCUACAAUGGUUGGUACAAUGGGUAUCUACCCCGAAAGGGGACGGGAAUCUCCUAAAACCAAUCUUAGUUCGGAUUGAGGGCUGCAACUCGCCCUCAUGAAGCUGGAAUCCGUAGUAAUCGCGUUUCAACAGAACGCGGUGAAUACGUCCCUGCUCCUU
Molecule: ribosomal RNA, 472 nt
Filed under: uncultured Methanosaeta sp.
Lineage: Archaea; Methanobacteriati; Methanobacteriota; Methanomicrobia; Methanotrichales; Methanotrichaceae
Description: bacterial SSU rRNA
Rfam family: Archaeal small subunit ribosomal RNA
Source: RNAcentral